AAUCGGAAUUACUGGGCGUAAAGCGUGCGCAGGCGGUUUGUUAAGCGAGAUGUGAAAGCCCUGGGCUCAACCUAGGAAUAGCAUUUCGAACUGGCGAACUAGAGUCUUGUAGAGGGGGGUAGAAUUCCAGGUGUAGCGGUGAAAUGCGUAGAGAUCUGGAGGAAUACCGGUGGCGAAGGCGGCCCCCUGGACAAAGACUGACGCUCAUGCACGAAGGCGUGGGGAGCAAACAGGAUUAGAUACCCUGGUAGUCCACGCCGUAAACGAUGUCUACUCGGAGUUUGGUGUCUUGAACACUGGGCUCUCAAGCUAACGCAUUAAGUAGACCGCCUGGGGAGUACGGCCGCAAGGUUAAAACUCAAAUGAAUUGACGGGGGCCCGCACAAGCGGUGGAGCAUGUGGUUUAAUUCGAUGCAACGCGAAGAACCUUACCUACUCUUGACAUCCACAGAAGAGACCAGAGAUGGACUUGUGCCUUCGGGAACUGUGAGACAGGUGCUGCAUGGCUGUCGUCAGCUCGUGUUGUGAAAUGUUGGGUUAGGUCCCGCAACGAGCGCAACCCCUAUCCUUAUUUGCCAGCACGUAAUGGUGGGAACUCUAGGGAGACUGCCGGUGAUAAACCGGAGGAAGGUGGGGACGACGUCAAGUCUUCAUGGCCCUUACGAGUAGGGCUACACACGUGCUACAAUGGCGAGUACAGAGGGUUGCAAAGCCGCGAGGUGGAGCUAAUCUCACAAAGCUCGUCGUAGUCCGGAUUGGAGUCUGCAACUCGACUCCAUGAAGUCGGAAUCGCUAGUAAUCGUGGAUCAGAAUGCCACGGUGAAUACGUUCCCGGGCCUUGUACACACCGCCCACAAAU
This 859-nucleotide ribosomal RNA is filed under the name uncultured bacterium. Its description in RNAcentral is "bacterial SSU rRNA". It matches the Rfam family "Bacterial small subunit ribosomal RNA", at positions 543 to 1401 of the family's 1533-position model. The record is from RNAcentral.